Molecule: long non-coding RNA, 2341 nt
Organism: Equus caballus (horse)
Lineage: Eukaryota; Metazoa; Chordata; Mammalia; Perissodactyla; Equidae
Source: Ensembl
GGUUUUUGAGCCUAUUUCCUCGUCUGUGAAAGGAGAGAGCAUCAAUUAAAAAUCCGUAAGGGUUUCUUUCCAACAUAAAGAUUUACGCAGUAGGAGGCAGAAACCAUGAUUUCAAGUUCGAAAUACACCGCUGAAUUAGGACUUUUGACAGUCGUUUCAAUCUACCCAAAUUAGGGCUGAUUCUUUCAGGCUUGUAUAUUAUACGGGUGUUUUAAUGGUGGUUAGGUUGCCAUAUAUUUGAAGUGGUGUGAGAGAUCCUCAUUUGGAACCAUUGUGAUUCUUCAAAUAGAAAAAUCAAAAGGCUCGAAGGGACAGAUCAUGUGACCCAGAAGCAUCCAGAGUGAGCUGCACAUUGGACCACUCCUGGAAUAGAUUCAUCACUUGUGUUUUUUGGCUUGGAUAUCACUGUUCUGUGCCACCUGUGGAAAAUGGGAGACAAAUUAUAUCCCUUAUGAUUGCAGUUGUUAGGGAAUUACCGCUCAGCUGGGAGCUCUGUUCUGUGCAACUUCACUCUGGGACCGAGGCUGCCUGGAGAACCACCAUCUGGAGUAUGGCUAGUCUCCGUGAGAGAGAGGAAGAUAGAGUGGUGAAUUUCUCACUGGCUUUUAAAGCUUACACCUGAAAGUGAUACAUGGCACUUCUACUCAGAUGUCACUAGGCAAAGCAAGUCACGUGGCUGUACCCAACUUCAAAAGGCGAAGAAGUGCAAUCAUACCCUGUGUUUGGGAAAAUCGGACACACUUGGUGGGCAGAACUGUCCCAGAUGAUGACAGUUGCUAUGAAGAAACAAAGCCAGGUAAAGGAGAUGAUGUCUGGAUAGCUGGUUUCUACUUGAUAUAGGUGGUCAGGAAAGGUCUCUCUGAUAAGGUGACAUUUGAGGAGAGAUUCUAAGAGGGCCAUUUGGAUGGGCACGGGGCAAUUUCCUGCAAGGGAUACAGCAAGGGCAAAGUGUGCCUGGCGUGUUUGAGAAACAACUAGGAGGUCCAGGUGGCUAGACUGGAGUGAGCAAGGGGAAAGCUGUAGAAAAUUAGGUCAGAGAGAUAACCGAGAGCUGGGGACACAAGGUAGGGCCUUACUGUAAGAGCUCUGGCCGUUGUAGAUUUUUGUGUAAAGACACAAUCUGAGUUAGGCUUUAAAAGCUGCUGUGGCUGCUGUGUGGAAAAUACAGCAGGGGGCCAAGGAUUGAAGCAGAGAGUGGUUAAGAGGCUGUUUCAGUAAUCCAGGUGAGGUAAGAGACGGGGUAGUGGUCAGAUUCUGGACAUAGUUCGAAGGUAAAACCAACAGAAUUUGCCAAUGUGUUGGUUGUAAGAGAAGGAGGAGAUUUGAGGAUGACUUCAAAGGUUUGUUUCUCCUAGUAGUGCCUGGACACACAUAAGGACUGCCUCAGGUGGUUUUUGAGACUCUUCUAACUUGGCAAUAUCACCAUAGCAUAUAACUUCCCCCAUACAUGAGUCAAAGUUGGACAGCCAAGUGGAGAUAUAGAUGCUGGGGCAGUCAGCCUGAUUCAUGUACCAGCAAAGGGACUUCUGUCCCCACAUUGGCCUCAUAUCUGGUCUCUCUUUGGACUUAUGACCCAAGUUAAUUUAUAAAACCAGAGAAGUGAGCUUCAUAAUUACAAGCAAAAUAGGAGAAAAUGACUGAGUCAUCCCAACCUCAUCUCACCCCGCCAUUCCUCUGUGAACCUCAGAUAGCGCUACCAAGAAACCCAGCUAUUACAACAUGGGGUCUAUCCUCAUUGGACACUGGGACAGUGAUGUGUUGCCUCCCAUUCUCCUGGAAAUACGUUGAGUAAAAUUCUUAACAAAUACGACAAAACAACACUGUGGUGUUUUUCUGAAUAGUGUGUCCCCCAUUUCUGCUCACCCUGUCAUCCUGUAACAUGGCUCUCCCCAUCACUACCACCCAGUAAAUGGCAACUGGAACUCCCUGCUACACCUGGGCCUUCUCUGUGUCUUCUCCAGCAUAGAGUAGCAUAGGUUGAGUGCAAAGUUUGCCACCUACCAUAACGGACUGAAUAAAUGAAGGUCCAUGCUGUUUUUAAGAACUAUUUUGGGGGUAUUUAUACUCAAAAGCAUUCAUUUGUUCAAGAAAUCUUCUUGAACUCCUACUAUGUGCCAGGUACUCUUCUAAGCACUGGAGACACAGCCAUGGAUAGAAUAUAUAAGUAAUAUAUAUUGUUGAAAACUGGGAAAGCAUAGAAAGGUACUCAGAAAAGAUAACAUUUCCACUAACUCACCACCGAAACAUAAUUGCUAGUAACAUUUUGGUGCCCAGUCUUUUUCUGAGCAUAUAUAUCUUUCCUUCCUCCUUUUUUGAAUAAAAUUUACAACUUUGGGCUGAC